GGAGAGGUGGCAGAGCGGUUGAAUGCGCCGGUCUCGAAAACCGGUAUGGGCUAUCAGUCCAUCGGGGGUUCGAAUCCCCCCCUCUCCGCCA
This 91-nucleotide transfer RNA is filed under the name Actinomycetota bacterium. RNAcentral describes it as "tRNA-Ser". It matches the Rfam family "tRNA". Rfam says of the family: Transfer RNA (tRNA) molecules are approximately 80 nucleotides in length. Lineage: Bacteria; Bacillati; Actinomycetota. The record is from RNAcentral.